CGGACGGGUGAGUAACACGUGGAUAACCUACCUAUAAUACUGGGAUAACUUCGGGAAACCGGAGCUAAUACCGGAUAAUAUAUUGAACCGCAUGGUUCAAUAGUGAAAGACGGUUUUGCUGUCACUUAUAGAUGGAUCCGCGCCGCAUUAGCUAGUUGGUAAGGUAACGGCUUACCAAGGCAGCGAUGCGUAGCCGACCUGAGAGGGUGAUCGGCCACACUGGAACUGAGACACGGUCCAGACUCCUACGGGAGGCAGCAGGC
Molecule: ribosomal RNA, 263 nt
Filed under: uncultured Staphylococcus sp.
Lineage: Bacteria; Bacillati; Bacillota; Bacilli; Caryophanales; Staphylococcaceae
Description: partial 16S ribosomal RNA
Rfam family: Bacterial small subunit ribosomal RNA
Source: RNAcentral